Molecule: small RNA, 276 nt
Filed under: Marmota monax (woodchuck)
Lineage: Eukaryota; Metazoa; Chordata; Mammalia; Rodentia; Sciuridae
Source: RNAcentral
ACUAGACCUGGUGGCGCCCGCCUGUAAUCCCAGCGGCGUGGUAGGCUAGGGAAGGAGAAUAAGGACUGGGGAUGCAGCUCAGUGGUUAAGCACCCCUGGGUUCAAUCCCUAGUACCAAAAAAGUAUCAUGAAAUGAAUGAAAAAUUAGCCUAUAAUAGGUUUAGUAAAAUGAAACAGUUGAUAUGAAAAUACAUCAUAAAGGGUUUUUUGUUUGGUACUGAGAAUUGAACCCAAGAGUGCUCAUCACUGAGCUACAUCCCAGUCCCCCCCCCCUUU